This is a long non-coding RNA of Triticum aestivum (bread wheat), 1742 nucleotides long. RefSeq lists it as uncharacterized. The record is from RefSeq and is a predicted model, not a curated record. NCBI's taxonomy places the organism in Eukaryota, Viridiplantae, Streptophyta, Magnoliopsida, Poales, Poaceae. The transcript has 10 exons.
AGCGCCCCAUCUCCCCUCCUCUCGCUUUUCCACUUUCCCGUCACCUCCGCCAUCGCCUCCUCCCCUCUCCUCUCUCUCUCCCGUCUCCUCCCUCUCAACCCUAGCCGCCACCACCCACCCUCUACUGCUCCACCAUGCACCCACCUCCCCUCUGGAUCAGGUGCAGGCCGGCCGAUGCACGCAGGCGGCGGCGCUCCACUCGAGGGCAAAGGAAGGCAACGACGGCGGUGGCCGCCGUGGACACGCGCGGCUAUGACGUACCCCGCCACCAGGAGGCCGCCAUGGAGGCCCGCCCCGAGCUCGGCUCGCCGCUCCUCCGGUGGAUCCAGGUCGGGCGGAUCCAACGAAGGAGCCCACCCAUGGCACCGGUGGCUCUGGAGAUGAGGGCUGCACAGAGGAAGAGGAGCAGCAGCAGCUUGAGGAGGAGGCCACAGUCGUCUUGCCGCCGCCGAGCCGCCAAGCAGUGAGCGAGAGAUACAACGAUGGCGAGGUCCCCUGCAUCGAUGAGUAGUCGCAGGGAGUCGUCGCCAAGUGCUCCGUCCGCGUCGCUGGAAACAUGCUGCAUGCUCGAGAAUGCACGAGUGCCACCACGCGUCGCCCACACCCCUCCUCCGCUCGCUCUCGUCUCCGUCAGCUGAUGUUCACUGCACUAAAGGGAGAGGACAAGAGUAAGAGAGCAAGAACAAUAGAUGAUUCGGUUAUUUGUGAAACUGAUGGCUCUUGUGAGGAGCAAGGAUAGAGAAGGCUAUGAACCAAUGAGAUAAGUUUUAUUUCCAGUUUUUCAAUUAAGAAGUACUGGAGGAUAUGCCAUAUGUUUAGGUGCUAAUAUUUACAUAUGGUGUACGUAAUAAGUUGUCUUGCUGGCCCUUUAUGUGUAUCGUUUGAAAAAACUACAGCAGAUGAACAUCAUCUUUAUCCAAAUAUCUUCAGAUAUAACUGACAUCCCAGCAGCGCGUGGGAGCCGAUGUCUUCGGCCAGAGCUGGGUCUCCUUGCCGGCGACCUUGCCAUCACCAGCCUAUCUGCAGUUUUGCAGGGAUGGACAUAUGGAUUGAAUGGUACCCUCCUGAAAUCUACACAGAUGUCAGAUAUGAGAAAGAAGAAAUAGGGCAAAGGAAAUUAGAUCGGAGAAAGAAGAGAUGAAGAACAAUUUUAAUUGAAGAGUUGAAGAAGACUAAGCACGAGUCCCCCUAAAGUGCUUGACCACCGGCCGGUUGCAGUGGAUGUCAGCAUCACCUAGCUGUGGCCAUCCUGGGCGCCGAGAGAAUUAGCUGAAAAUCUUGCUGAGAUCCAGGUCACGGGUCAUUCCCAUUCAGGUGGCUAUGAAACUUGUUCCUAACGAAGAUAAAUUUAUGGAGGUGGCUAGGGAACAGGAGGAGCAAGUUUAGCCUGGCAGGUGCUUCUCAGGUUCAAUGGUUUCCAACAAGGGAGCGAUAUUCAUGCUCUGCAUCAAGGUCGUAGUGCUUUCUUCAUGGGUUCGGCCUUUGCCAUUAAGAUGCAUGAUGCUCUGACAAGUAGAAGCAUCAGGACUACAGACAGAUAGAAGAAGCUUUUAUCAAUGUCUCCCCUUUCUGACAAUUGAGAGAAUUUCUAUGCAAGAUAAAUUUAACUCUGUUCUUGAUCAUGAAUCUUUACGUGUCUGUGCUCAACUGAAUCGUGUUUGCUUGGUGUGAUCUCUCCAAGAACAAGAAUCUUGAUGAGCAAGAAGUAGUAUAACUGGCGGGAAAUGCUAGAGCUUUUUGGU